This 381-nucleotide ribosomal RNA is filed under the name uncultured bacterium. RNAcentral's name for it is "bacterial SSU rRNA". It matches the Rfam family "Bacterial small subunit ribosomal RNA", at positions 30 to 414 of the family's 1533-position model. The record is from RNAcentral.
AUUGAACGCUGGCGGUAUGCUUAACACAUGCAAGUCGAACGGUAACAGGCCUUCGGGCGCUGGCGAGUGGCGGACGGGUGAGUAACGCGUAGGAAUCUGCCUCAUAGUGGGGGACAACGUGGGGAAACUCACGCUAAUACCGCAUACGCCCUACGGGGGAAAGCGGGGGAUCUUCGGACCUCGCGCUAUGAGAUGAGCCUGCGUUAGAUUAGCUAGUUGGUAGGGUAAAGGCCUACCAAGGCGACGAUCCGUAGCUGGUCUGAGAGGAUGAUCAGCCACACUGGAACUGAGACACGGUCCAGACUCCUACGGGAGGCAGCAGUGGGGAAUAUUGGACAAUGGCGAAAGCCUGAUCCAGCCAUGCCGCGUGUGUGAAGAAGG